Molecule: ribosomal RNA, 253 nt
Filed under: uncultured bacterium
Lineage: Bacteria
Description: partial 16S ribosomal RNA
Rfam family: Bacterial small subunit ribosomal RNA
Source: RNAcentral
UACAGAGGGUGCAAGCGUUAAUCGGAUUUACUGGGCGUAAAGCGUGCGUAGACGGCUAUCUAAGUCGGGUGUGAAAGCCCCGGGCUCAACCUGGGAAUUGCAUUCGAGACUGAAUAGCUAGGGUACGGUAGAGGGAAGUGGAAUUUCCGGUGUAGCGGUGAAAUGCGUAGAUAUCGGAAGGAACAUCAGUGGCGAAAGCGACUUCCUGGACCAGUACCGACGUUCAGGCACGAAAGCGUGGGGAGCAAACAGG